AGAGUUUGAUCAUGGCUCAGAAUCAACGCUGGCGGCGUGCCUAACACAUGCAAGUCGAACGAGAAAAUGGAGCAAUCCAUGAGUAAAGUGGCGCACGGGUGAGUAACACGUGACUAACCUACCCUUGAGUGGGGAAUAACCUAGGGAAACCUGGGCUAAUACCGCAUAACACCUACGGGUCAAAGGAGCAAUUCGCUUAAGGAGGGGGUCGCGGCAGAUUAGCUAGUUGGCGGGGUAAUGGCCCACCAAGGCAGUGAUCUGUAUCCGGCCUGAGAGGGCGCACGGACACACUGGAACUGAAACACGGUCCAGACUCCUACGGGAGGCAGCAGUGGGGAAUUUUGCGCAAUGGGGGAAACCCUGACGCAGCAACGCCGCGUGGAGGAUGAAGUCCCUUGGGACGUAAACUCCUUUCGACCGGGAAGAUUAUGACGGUACCGGAAGAAGAAGCCCCGGCUAACUUCGUGCCAGCAGCCGCGGUAAUACGAGGGGGGCAAGCGUUGUUCGGAAUUAUUGGGCGUAAAGGGUGCGUAGGCGGUUCGGCAAGUCUUGUGUGAAAUCUUCGGGCUCAACUCGAAGUCUGCACGAGAAACUGCCGGGCUUGAGUGUGGGAGAGGUGAGUGGAAUUUCCGGUGUAGCGGUGAAAUGCGUAGAUAUCGGAAGGAACACCUGUGGCGAAAGCGGCUCACUGGACCACAACUGACGCUGAGGCACGAAAGCUAGGGGAGCAAACAGGAUUAGAUACCCUGGUAGUCCUAGCCCUAAACGAUGAUCGCUUGGUGUGACGGGUACCCAAUCCCGCCGUGCCGAAGCUAACGCGUUAGCGAUCCGCCUGGGGGGUACGGUCGCAAGGCUGAAACUCAAGGAUUGACGGGGGCCCGCACAAGCGGUGGAGCAUGUGGUUUAUUCGACGCAACGCGAAGAACCUUACCUGGGCUCGAAAUGUACAGGAAUCCGGGGAACCU
This 965-nucleotide ribosomal RNA is filed under the name uncultured bacterium. RNAcentral describes it as "bacterial SSU rRNA". It matches the Rfam family "Bacterial small subunit ribosomal RNA", at positions 8 to 1008 of the family's 1533-position model. The record is from RNAcentral.